ACGUAGGGACCAAGCGUUGUUCGGAUUUACUGGGCGUAAAGGGUGCGUAGGCGGCGCGGAAAGUAGGGUGUGAAAUCCCUCGGCUCAGCCGAGGAAUUGCGCCCUAAACUACCGUGCUCGAGGGAGAUAGAGGUGAGCGGAACUUAGGGUGGAGCGGUGAAAUGCGUUGAUAUCCUAAGGAACACCGGUGGCGAAAGCGGCUCUCUGGAUCUCUUCUGACGCUGAGGCACGAAAGCUAGGGUAGCAAACGGGA
This 253-nucleotide ribosomal RNA is filed under the name uncultured prokaryote. RNAcentral's name for it is "partial 16S ribosomal RNA". It matches the Rfam family "Bacterial small subunit ribosomal RNA", at positions 525 to 777 of the family's 1533-position model. The record is from RNAcentral.